Molecule: long non-coding RNA, 261 nt
Organism: Homo sapiens (human)
Lineage: Eukaryota; Metazoa; Chordata; Mammalia; Primates; Hominidae
Exons: 3
Source: RefSeq, a predicted model, not a curated record
AGGUGAUGCAGAAAGAGGCCCCAGGGAGCUGCCUCACUCCUUCCACCAAGUGAGCACACAGCUAGAAGGUACCAUCCAUAAAGAUGAAGAAUGCCAAGGACAUCCACCCCUCAUGGCAACAUCUGCAUGUUGACAUACAUCAGUAAUGGUCUGUGAAUCAUUUGAAUUCUGGUUGAAGGCUGACACCGUCAUAGUCUCUCUACUCAUCUCCAUGGCCAAAAUUUGCUUUUGAAAGCAUUUGCUCCAAAGUAUAAAUGACUG